Molecule: long non-coding RNA, 2558 nt
Organism: Plodia interpunctella (Indianmeal moth)
Lineage: Eukaryota; Metazoa; Arthropoda; Insecta; Lepidoptera; Pyralidae
Exons: 3
Source: RefSeq, a predicted model, not a curated record
UAUCUCUUACAGAUUUUGAGUACCUAAUUAAGAAAAUUUUAUUUAUUGUCGUGAAUGUAAUGACAUCUAUAGGAGUGUAUGACAUUUUCACUUGUAAUCUUAUUUUCCUUAAGGAUUAUACAAAAUAAAUAAAAGACAAUAAUAAUCAAUAUUUCGUUUAAUAAUUAUAAUUUAGUAAAUCGUUAUAUUAUAGUAAAUCGGUUUCUUAAUUUGAUAAAUCUUUGCCGUAAAUCUUUGUUUACCUGUUUUAGUUUCUUUAUAAUUUCCAACAACUUCUCCCUCUUCUUUGCUUCCCUAUAUUUAAUUCUAUUUACUAGCAAUUUUCCUGGCGAAACAACAGUUUUAACUUUUAAGCUUGUAUCAGAGCUUAAUGGGUGUUUGGAAUGCACAACCUAGAAGGGAAAGAAUGCCGAGAGGGAACAAGAGAAAGGAAGAAAUUUUGAAGCAACACCGAGAAGCAAAAAACGCCAAAAGCUUCAAUUAAAAAUGAUCCAGUAUUAUACGAAAAAUGAAACAGAAAAUAGUGCUACUUCUUAAAAAACAAAAGAAAAUAAUAAAUAUCAAGCUUAGAUGAAUUGAAUCCAAAAGAACAGCGCUUAAAGCGAAAACAAUGGAGAGAAUAUACUAGAAGAUACAGACAGAAAAUUGGAGAAGAGAAAAAGAAACAAAAAAUGUAAAACAAUUAGAACAGAGAUAAAUAGUUACGUGUUUCCCAUGGAUUUGUUGCUAUACUUCAGGUUACGUCAACAAUGUGACAGCUAAGAAGAAACUAGCGCCCUCACCUAAGCCAUCACAUCAUGACCUAAAGGACUGGAAAUACCUACAAGAAAAACGUGCAUACCUAAACUGCAAAUAUACACAUAAACAUAUAAUAAAAAGAUUUACGACCAAAAAUACCUUCUACGCAAUCGUGGUGCGAGUGUAACGGAAUUAAGAAGGAUUUAGUGGAUUAUCCUGAAAACAAUAACACUAUUUUAGGUGAUGUUCUGAAUUAUUUGGUCAACUGUGGUCAUAAACUGAUAUAAACUUUAUUUUCACUGAAAAUCUUGCCUGCAUGAAGUCCAUAUUUAAAUAAGUCUUCGUGUGUGAAGUGUUCCAAGCUUUUUUUCGACCGUUUACUGGGUUGAAAAUUUUACAGCGUGAGGCGUAUCCUAUAGAUUUCGUUUUUUUAUCUUAUGGAAAACGAUUUUUCCCAAUAUUUCGGCACCCGAAUAUGCUACAGUGUUGUAUAUUUUCACAAACGAAUGCUUACAUAAUGAAAGGAUUAAUAAAGUACUCUAAAAGUUUUAAUCGACAUAGCAAAAGGCGGCACAGAUUGUGUGUACCUAACAUACAGUGCCCUACUCUGUCGGGAUAAAUGUGCAGUAAUACUCCCCCUAUUUUACUACAGCCUGUCUGCAUGACGUCAGCCCUUUCAGGUUUCACGCUUUAGUAAGUACUAACCCACCAAUUCCAUGGUUAUCACAUAUAAUAACUAUAUGAUAGUGGAGGCAGCCAGGAGCACUAACACUAAAAACUUUUUAAAAAUAAUCAUAAGAAUUCACUCAAAUCUGAAAUGUAACAUCAUCUUUUUGUUUGAUGUCCCUGUUUCAUUUUUGCAGCAGAAAACUAGCAUGACCGUUACCUACCAGGUUACUCAUUCCCUCGCUAGUUUAGAUAGGAUUCCGAGCACAUCUAGUUCACAAAUACUUUUUACCUUAAUUUGUCCGAAUUAGGUACAUUAAAACCACUGUAGUUCAAGUAUAAAAUAAUAAGGUUAACCAGUUUCUAGUUAAUCCAGUAGGAACAAGGAAGGGCAAGAGUAAGUAAUGCAAGCAAUGUCUGACCAAGUUCUGUCAUUCAAACUAUGUAACUGUUAUUCUCUAAGUUUGUUAUUUAAGUCUGAGAAAUUUUAACAUUUUUGUAAUGAGGAGAGAAGGGGAUUACAGAAGGAGGAAACUGAAGAGAUGCAUGUACCUAUUGCGUUUGCGUGGGGGACAAAUUGUAAGGAGUUAGAAUAUGACACGUUAAUUAGAAACAAAGACACUAGAAAAAAUAAGACAUUGCGUAUAAUAAAAAAAUAUUUUUCCAUCGAUUUUACUUUUCCCUGACCACCUUGUGGUAGCCCAAAAGAGGACACCCCAUUAACGGUUAGUGUCUUUCGUAAACGUAUAAAAGAUGCGCAAGGCCUCACUCAAGGAGCUUUAUCAAAGUCAAAGCCCAGCUACAGAUUAUGGACGCCAAUGUAUUUAUUAAACUGCUACUCUAUAUCUAUUUACAUAAAAAUUAAGUAGUAAAUACUAUAUUUCCAUUUUCAAACCGUAAUAUUGUAUCUUUUGAUAAAACGUUUAUUUCCCUUCACCAUUUGUUACAUUAUUAUGCCUUAAAAAACCAAUAUUUCUUAAAUAUCGUACAAUGAACGGUGUUGACGUUAAUGUUAUUGCUAUUCGAACUGGGGCAAACAAUUUGUGUAUUGCAUAUGCAACGACAAAAGUUCCAGCAUUUGAUGACACUACUUUAGACACUGUUCCUUCUCCAAUAUUGAAAUAUUGCAGUAACGCUAUUACGUCGACACCACU